UGACCCGGACAUGAUUUGAACACGCAACCUUCUUAUCUGGAGUCAGACGCGCGACUGUUGCGCCAACGAGUC
This 72-nucleotide transfer RNA is filed under the name Araneus ventricosus. RNAcentral describes it as "tRNA-Trp". Lineage: Eukaryota; Metazoa; Arthropoda; Arachnida; Araneae; Araneidae. The record is from RNAcentral.